Molecule: unclassified non-coding RNA, 324 nt
Filed under: Lopharia cinerascens
Lineage: Eukaryota; Fungi; Basidiomycota; Agaricomycetes; Polyporales; Polyporaceae
Description: partial contains 5.8S ribosomal RNA, internal transcribed spacer 2, and large subunit ribosomal RNA
Source: RNAcentral
CGCACCUUGCGCUCCUCGGUAUUCCGUGGAGCAUGCCUGUCUGAGUGUCGUGAACAUCCUCAAACCUUUUUCCGAUUUAUUUCGGUGAAAGGCUUUGGUAUUGGAGGGCUUUGCCGGGAGCUCACGCUUCAUCAUCGGCUCCUCUUGAAUGCAUUAGCCGCGGACUUAUAUGCUCCGACGGGUCCGGCGUGAUUAAAUCUUUUUCUACGUCGUGGUCCCGUUUGUCGAGCGCAUGAGUUGACUUGUGGCUUCUAAUCGGCCGUUCUUGGCCAUUCGUUUCGACGGUUUGACCUCAGAUCAGGUAGGAUUACCCGCUGAACUUAA